GCCUGGAUAGCUCAGUUGGUUAGAGUGGGGCGAUGAUAACGCCAGGGUUGCAGGUUCGAUCCCCGUAUGGCA
Molecule: non-coding RNA, 72 nt
Organism: Podarcis lilfordi (Lilford's wall lizard)
Lineage: Eukaryota; Metazoa; Chordata; Lepidosauria; Squamata; Lacertidae
Source: the annotation of a GenBank genome assembly